RNAcentral lists this long non-coding RNA (476 nucleotides) under Lynx pardinus (Iberian lynx). Lineage: Eukaryota; Metazoa; Chordata; Mammalia; Carnivora; Felidae. The record is from RNAcentral.
AGAAAGAAAGAAAGAAAGAAAGAAAGAAAGAAAGAAAGAAAGAAAGAAAAGAAAAGGAGAAAGAAAGAAAGAAAGAAAGAAAGAAAGAAAGAAAAGAAAAGGAGAAAGAAAGGAAGAAAGAAAGAGAGAAAGAAAUGAGAGAGAGAGGGAGAGAGAAAGAAGGAAUGAGAGAGAGAGAAAGAAAGAAAGAAAGAAAGAAAAGAAAGGGAGAAAGAAAGAAAGAAAGAAAGGGAGAGAGAAAGAAAGAAAUGAGAGAGAGAGGGAGAGAGAGAGAGAGAAAGAAGGAAUGAGAGAGAGAGAGAGAAAGAAAGAAAGAAAGAAAAGAAAGGGAGAGAGAAAGAAAGAAAGAAAGGGAGAGAGAAAGAAAGAAAUGAGAGAGAGAGGGAGAGAGAGAGAGAGAAAGAAGGAAUGAGAGAGAAAGAAAGAAAGAAAGAAAGAAAGAAAGAAGAAAGAAAGAAGAAAGAAAGAAAGGAGAG